This is a regulatory RNA element of Gallaecimonas xiamenensis 3-C-1, 48 nucleotides long. It matches the Rfam family "L31-Gammaproteobacteria ribosomal protein leader". The record is from Rfam. Lineage: Bacteria; Pseudomonadati; Pseudomonadota; Gammaproteobacteria; Enterobacterales; Gallaecimonadaceae.
CGUGUGGUGUCUGGCACUGGACCAGAUGGCGACACGGCCCAAUGAGGU